UACAACGGUUAAACUACUCCACCAGUCUUGGCUCGUCCGCCGUGCCGCGUGUUUACAAAAGUUGACUAUUUUUAAUAUUUCUUUACAAAUAUAUAUACGUGUCUGUAUAUAACAAAUAAUUAUUGGAAAUAUAAAUAAAAUAAAAUAUUUUCUUAGUAAUAAUUAUAAUUGAUUAUUUAUCUAAAUCGUGAUUUAUCUUAUUCCGUAUUUGGUGAUAAAAUCUUGAUCGAUAAGAUUGUUAUCAUAAUUACAAUUAAAGAUUACG
This is a long non-coding RNA of Polistes dominula (European paper wasp), 265 nucleotides long. The record is from RefSeq and is a predicted model, not a curated record. Lineage: Eukaryota; Metazoa; Arthropoda; Insecta; Hymenoptera; Vespidae.